Molecule: ribosomal RNA, 372 nt
Filed under: Triticum aestivum (bread wheat)
Lineage: Eukaryota; Viridiplantae; Streptophyta; Magnoliopsida; Poales; Poaceae
Description: partial small subunit ribosomal RNA
Source: RNAcentral
AUGGUUGUGGCUGAACCCGCAAAUCCUCAUUCAGAUUUAGAUGUACAGGAUAAGAGUGUCGAGAAAGUCAAUAUAUGGCUUAGUGCGGCACAUAAGUUGUCUACUAGCUCCUUGCUCGUGGCGUUGAAGUGGUGGCGACAGGCGAUGGCGGCGGCGUUGUCGAUUGCGGUGAGGACAUCCCGUGGCAUCCCUCGAAGCACCAACACGACGCCACCUGGUCUACCAUCUCCAUAUGGGCGAGUUCUCUUGAUCCCCAGCGUACUCUCUCACCUCCUCCAAAUUCCUCGACCCCUAACUUCUCGAUCCCUACCAGGCUACCACGAUCUGAUCCGAAGGCCGAUGCAGCUCCGGGCUAUUGAUAAUGGAGGUUGA